Molecule: non-coding RNA, 1659 nt
Organism: Phoenix dactylifera (date palm)
Lineage: Eukaryota; Viridiplantae; Streptophyta; Magnoliopsida; Arecales; Arecaceae
Source: RefSeq, a predicted model, not a curated record
AAGAAUGCAUAGAAAAAAGCAGUUAAAAUUUGUUUAUUAGCAAUAAAAUUUGUCUACAGGAAACAUGGCAGCUUUCAUCUUUUGGAUAUGCUUGAUAGACUAGGUCAGUAGAAAGAUUCAUGUUUGCUAGCAAUACUCACUGGAUACGCUUGAUUGCUAUCAUACAAGUGUUUUUUUCAGAAGUUUGUGUUUAAGUAUAAGUUCAAUGCUCAUCUGGCAGCCUGUUCUUUCAUUUUAUUGCACAACCCGUUUCGAUCGUCUGUUUAGUUGUUCUCAUUGUUCAUUUCCAUCUUAGGGGCAUUAUUAUAGCAUAGAAUAUUCUUCUCCCAUCUACGUUGCAGUCUACUUUGUAGAUCUUACUUCGUCAGCCUCUAUUCAAGUAUUUGAAAACUGCCACUCUUUUUUCUUUGAACUGCUUAAAUGAAGUCUUCUUUGCUCUCUCUCAAUGUUCUUUUUAUUUCACUUCGAAAAUCCCAGUCUUUUCCAGUCUAUUUGUGGUCAGCUUCACAUAUCCUACUUUGUCAUCAUUUUUUUUGUGCAAGUCUUCAAGAACAAGAAUCAUCCUUCUUUUAUUCUUUUUAUUUGAUUACAGACAUCCAUGUCCCGUUUUGUCUCUGCCUCCUCUUUUGUAAACAUUCAUCCUGAAACUUGUGCCACUUCUUUUCUCGACCCUUUUCAGGUUCUUCAUCAACAUGGAGGUUGGUAUAUCAGUUUGCUUUUAUUCUGCAAACAGCUACAAAUUUUUUCUAGGUAGAGCACUGGAUUAUUUGAUUAAUUAAAUUCAGAAUCGGCUGUCAUCAUGAUUAAUCUUUCUUUUUUUUUGCAUUCACCCCUUCCUCUGCAUUGGUUCAGGUAUUCUUUUUUUUUUUUUCUGACAUGCAAGAUGCAAAACUUACCAGCAUGCUUUUGGAGAAUAGAAAGCAGAUUCAGUUGCCCAUCAAAUGAAUGAAUUAGAUGGUGAAAUAACACAACGAACACAUACGAUUGAAGAGGGUCUACUGGAAAAAUACCUCUGUAGAUGAUAAAUUUUUGAUGUAUAUUGGCCCUUUCCAAGCAGUUCAUCUUCGAAAGGAAUUUCUUGGCUUCCUCCUACCUCCUCCAGUGACAUGGGCAUCACAAUCCGGCUAAGAAGAAAGACUGGUCAAGGUGAACAAAAAGUGAUGCAUAAGGUCAGCUUUUUGGAAAUGCUUUCCUCCAUCUGUUGCAGUGCUUCUUGAUUAAUUAGUUCCAUUUACUAAAAAACCAUCAACUCUGAUCUCUUUUCCGUUCAUUGCAUAAAACUUUUUUCGAGGAAUAAUGGAGGAAGUGAGACUUUUCACCCAGCUUUGAAGAUUGAUGAGAGUGGAGCAAUGUAUACAACUUGGAGUAAUGUAGAGAACAUGCAAAUGGAAAGCAAAUCUAUCAAACACUAUGAUCACAGAAGAUGCAUGCAAAUAAUGCUGGUGCCUGGUGCAACAUGAGUUUGUCAUCAAGGGAUACAACUCUUUGAUCUGAACCAUUCCGAAAGGCUGGAGAGCCAAAUGGGAUGACGAAGGUUCUUCCAAUUUUUUUCCUCCUCCAACUCCUUCGGGUGGGAUUCAACCACUCCUCUCCUAUUUGAUUGCCAAGAGAACACGCAAGUUAUCUUGUAAAUAUGUCAUGCAUUUCCAUGAACUUCAC